RNAcentral lists this ribosomal RNA (451 nucleotides) under uncultured bacterium. RNAcentral's name for it is "bacterial SSU rRNA". It matches the Rfam family "Bacterial small subunit ribosomal RNA", at positions 29 to 524 of the family's 1533-position model. The record is from RNAcentral.
AGCGAACGCUGGCGGCAGGCUUAACACAUGCAAGUCGAACGGGCGUAGCAAUACGUCAGUGGCAGACGGGUGAGUAACGCGUGGGAACGUACCUUUUGGUUCGGAACAACCCAGGGAAACUUGGGCUAAUACCGGAUAAGCCCUUACGGGGAAAGAUUUAUCGCCGAAAGAUCGGCCCGCGUCUGAUUAGCUUGUUGGUGAGGUAACGGCUCACCAAGGCGACGAUCAGUAGCUGGUCUGAGAGGAUGAUCAGCCACAUUGGGACUGAGACACGGCCCAAACUCCUACGGGAGGCAGCAGUGGGAAUAUUGGACAAUGGGCGCAAGCCUGAUCCAGCCAUGCCGCGUGAGUGAUGAAGGCCCUAGGGUUGUAAAGCUCUUUUGUGCGGGAAGAUAAUGACGGUACCGCAAGAAUAAGCCCCGGCUAACUUCGUGCCAGCCGCCGCCGUAAG